CAACUUUAAGCAAUGGAUCACUUGGUUCUCGCAUCGAUGAAGAGCGUAGCAAAUUGCGAAAAGUAAUGCGAUCUGCAGCCUUUGCGAAUCAUCGAAUUCUCGAACGCACCUU
Molecule: ribosomal RNA, 112 nt
Filed under: Rhizomucor pusillus
Lineage: Eukaryota; Fungi; Mucoromycota; Mucoromycetes; Mucorales; Lichtheimiaceae
Description: 5.8S ribosomal RNA
Rfam family: 5.8S ribosomal RNA
About the family: 5.8S ribosomal RNA (5.8S rRNA) is a component of the large subunit of the eukaryotic ribosome.
Source: RNAcentral